This is an RNA transcript of Lutra lutra (Eurasian river otter), 4410 nucleotides long. It is a transcript of the gene named GPALPP motifs containing 1, with no coding region annotated. NCBI's taxonomy places the organism in Eukaryota, Metazoa, Chordata, Mammalia, Carnivora, Mustelidae. The transcript is spliced from 10 exons. The record is from RefSeq and is a predicted model, not a curated record.
CUUGACUCUGCGGGGUUAGAGUUGUAUGCUUGAGCAGUGUCCGCCACUGCGGAUGGCGAGGGAUCUGAUCGGGCCGGCGCUGCCGCCCGGCUUCAAGGCCCGCGGGACAGCCGAGGACGAGGAGCGAGACCCCAGCCCUGUUGCAGGACCAGCUCUGCCCCCUAAUUAUAAAAGCAGUAGCUCGGAGUCCUCAGACAGUGAUGAAGACAGUAGUUCGUUGUAUGAAGAAAAUCAAGAAUCUGAAGAUGAUGACAGUGGUCCAGUGGCAAGAAAACAGAGGAGAAAUCAAGAUGACGAUGACGAUGACGAUGAAGGGUUUUUUGGACCAGCUCUUCCUCCUGGAUUUAAAAAGCAGGAUGAUUCUCCUCCAAGGCCUAUAAUAGGUCCUGCACUACCACCUGGUUUUAUUAAAUCUACUCAGAAAAGUGACAAAGGCAGAGAUGAUCCAGGACAACAAGUAUCAUCAUAUUUCAACUCUGAGGAAACAGAUAGCAGUGAAGAUGAGGACAUUGUUGGACCAAUGCCUGCCAAAGGACCAGUUAACUAUAGCGUCACAACAGAGUUUGAAAAAAGGGCCCAGCGAAUGAAAGAGAAACUGACCAAAGGAGACAAUGAUUCAUUGAAACCAAUGACAAGAGAGUCAUGGAUGACUGAGCUUCCUCCAGAAAUGAAAGACUUUGGUCUUGGGCCCAGAACUUUUAAGAGAAGGGCUGAUGACAAAUCUGGAGAUCGAUCAGUCUGGACAGACACUCCAGCAGACAGGGAGAAGAAAGCCAAGGAAACACAAGAAGCAAGGAAAUCAUUUAAUAAGAAGGAUGAAGAACAUACAUUGUCAGGAAGGGAAAAGAGAUUGGCUGAGCAGGUAUCCUCAUACAAUGAAUCAAAAAGAUCAGAAUCUCUUAUGGACAUUCAUCAUAAAAAAUUGAAGAAUAAAGCUGCUGAAGAAAAAAAUAAGCCCCAAGAAAGAAUACCAUUUGACCGUGAUAAAGAUCUCAAGGCUAAUCGGUUUGAUGAAGCUCAGAAAAAAGCUCUGAUAAAGAAAUCUAGAGAACUAAACACCAGAUUUUCACAUGGCAAAGGCAGUAUGUUUUUAUAAGGGGAUUUCCCUGUGCAGUGAAGAAAAGUUGAAGAAUACGCUUUUGUCUGUCUGUCACCUUUAUCCCUUUGUUUUGAGUUUCUUGAGAUUAGAGAUGACUUCAGUCUUAAAAACCAUACAAAACUUACCUUGUGUGUAUAUCCUGUAACUUCUAUGGAAACCUAGUCAGUAUUUCUUAUGUGGAAUAGAAUUUUAUGUGUCUUUGGCUUCUGAGGAUGUCUGGGCUUUUCUUCAAAUAAUUAUUUUGAGGCUCUCCCAUCCAUUCCCUAAUUUUUGUGGUGUCUCACAAGUAUCCUGUAAGAUCUUAGUCAGGACUAUCCACCAAAUCCCCACCAAAGCUCAGACCUCCUCAUCAAAUGUUACUCGCCUGCCCUUGGAGUAAAUGUGCCGGGUCCUUGCAGUAAAUCCAUGAAUUUGAAAUUGUUUGGGUUUUCCCUGUAAACCAUGAAUACACAUUUACAAAUAGAGGGCUCAGAGGUUUCAUCUGUUUUGUUCACAUUUGCUUGUUUGGGCAAUCAGGGCUUUUAUUUGUUUGGGCUUUUUGUUUUUCUAUUUUGGUUGGCGCCCCGGUUGGUUGGUUUUUAAGUCAGGAAGAAGGGCCUCUGCAUUAUCUCAUGUGCUAAGGAAAAACUAUAUUGAUUUUUGCAAUAUUAAUAAGUAUUUCUGGGGGAGGCAAUCUGAGGGACAAAAUACGCCAUUAAGCAUUAGUGGUGUGAAGUCUAAGACUUGGUCUCCAUGGUCUCAGCCAAAGCUUUCUAAUUAAGUCUUUAAAUUUUACUUUGCGAUGAUCUUACUUUACCCUUUUAUAUUUAACAGAUUUAAACUAAUUUAUUGGAGACUGAUCUUUUUUAUCAGUCAUGAGUAGUCUCUUAAAAAAAUCAAGUUCCUAAUCCCUGAAUACAAAAAUAUAAAUGGACACGCUAAUCAUAACCACCCUAAUGAGAGUAUGUAAGUUUGUAAUGCUUGAGGUACUAUCUCUCGGGAUGUUAAAUAGAAUAUUCUAAAUGGUUAAAUCCUAAAUUCAAAUUCUCUAAGUUAUGUUUUCUUACAGAGCCAUUCUAAUUGUUCACUAGUUCUGUGGUCUAGUCUUGAUAAAGCAUGAGGGGUUUUAUUUUUUGUUUUCUAUGGGGAAAAAAACACAAAAUGAGAGACGAGGUGGGAAGUGUGAGGUUUCAGUGGAAAAACAUUCUGAUCCCUUGUUCAUGUAGGCUUCAUGACAAUUGAGUGACCUCUUCAGAUUAUGGCACAAAUUAUUCUUUGCUUUUAUGAUAUCAGCCUAAACAGUAGCCUACUCAAGGAGUGUAGCUACUAAAACGAUGAAUUAUUCUCCCAAGCAAACCGAGAAAGCCUCUUGUCUCAGAACUUGAACAGAACUUGAACAGAACUACCAUUUGCCUAAGAUGUCAUUUUUAGUAAGUAAUAUUUUCUGAACCCAAAACUUUGUGUAAAAGCAUCCAUUGCUCUUCUUUAAUUUCAUUACAAUUUUUCGCCAAUGAAAGGAAGAAAUGUUUUCUAGUUUCUCAUCCUUGUAUGAAUUCCUAACAUAUAUUUUUGGGAAACUUGGUAUUUUUUAAAGUAAAAAUGUCACCUUUGGUUGCUUAUUUUUCUUUGUUUUCUUCAUUUUAAGGAGAUAGGAUAUUUCUGUAUCACCUAUUUACUGUUUUUUCCCCUCACCUUGAAGCAUCUUUGUCCUCAGCAAAAGGGAGAAAACCUCUUCUUUCAGCCUAAGGCUUUCCACGAGUUACCACCUUAUUGCUUCUUGCCCCCAGGGCAGUUUUAAUCAAAUGUCAGGCCAGAGGCCCCUCCCCCACAGGGACUACGCCCAAUCUAACAGCAUUGAUAACAGAACAGAGUUGCUGUUUACACAGAAUGGAAGGGUGCUCAUGUCAGCCCCUCCCCUCUUCCAAAGUGGUGAAAAGCCUACUUAAAUCAAGUCUCCAUCCUUCUGACAGAAAAUUGGCAUUGCUGACAUCUUCUAAUAAGAACUUUUUAAUUUCCUAUACUUCUUGACUAAGUUUUCUAGAACUGCGACCUCCUUUGAAACUUCAAAAUGAAGAAUAAAAAAGAGCAACACUCAGUUCAAAGGGUGAAGCAGAUACUUUAACUUUCUUUUCCGUUGAAGGUGACAUCUAAGUUCAUUGUAACUGAAAUUACAUUUUUGUCCACCUCUGUAAAUCGUCAUCUCAGAUUGAGUUACUUCCACAAGUAACCACAUUACUGAUAAAUAAGUGGUGACUUUAGCAAGUGAGAGAAUUGGGAAUGGGGACAGAAGGUAAGACAUGAUGGCUUCACCCAUUCAUUAUCAGAUAAAUUAAAGCCUUUUUAUAUUGGGCAAAAUAUUGUAAAUUAAGCCCUGCUCUUAAAAAAAAAAAAGCCAUGGUCUUACUAAAAGUUUUUAAUCGUCUUCGGAUAUAACAACCAUUUGACAUUUAAUUUAUCUCUUAAACUUUUAGUAGUUCUCUGACUUAAUGACUUAUUUAAAAGUGAGGUUGAGAGGGACGCCUGGGUGUGGCUCAGCCGGUUGAGGGUCUCCCUUCGGCUUGGGUCAUGGUCCCAGGGUCCUGGGAUCAAGCCCCGAAUCAGGCUCCCUGCUCAGUGGGAGGCCUGCUUCUCCCUCUCCUACUCCCCCUGCUUGUGUUCCCUCUCUCACUCUCUCUCUGUCAAGUAAAUAAAUAAAAUCUUUUUUUAAAAAAGUGAGUUUGAGAUUGACAUGGUACUGAAACUUAUAUGCUCCAGAAUAGAUUAGUAAUUAUUCUAUAAAUGAUUUGGUCCCCAAACAUGAUGGCACUUUUUAUUCUUAUAUAGGGUGGAUAAUGUUAAUAUUAUUACUCAAACGUAUGAUCAUGGGAGAUGAAUUGUUAAACUGUCUACAAGAGUUCUGUCAUGUCUCUUUUGUACUUCUUCCAUGCUAAUGAUAAGCAUUGUCAGAAAAAGCAAUUCUCUGUUGAGUUACGUAGCUCAAAGGAAGAAUUAACGUGGGGGGAAAGUGGUUAGAAAUAGUGCCUGUGUAACAUCAGUGCCAGCUCUUCUCUUUCAUGAUACUAAUUUAUUUUACUUUGGCUUUUGAUGCCAUCAUGAGAUUUAAGUCUGCAGUUACAGAAGUCAUGCAUUUCCUAUUAUAGGAGAGGGUUGGUUUUUUUUUUUUUUUUUUGCAGCUUAAAAAAUUGUUCAACUGUGACUCUAGUUUGUAAAAUACUAUAAAGAGCUAUACACUGCCCCUUUGAAUCUUUUCAUUUUGAACUCUACAGGAAAAGACUUUUUAGAAGAGAAUUCCUGGUGUAUAAUUUUUUACAUAUAAAUAAAGUUUCAUCUCU